AUCCUUCUGGUUCUUAAAAUAUGAUGAGUGGGUCUUGCACGCGCAUGCGUGAAAUGUGCCGUCCCAGUUGUUACGACGGGGCACAUUACCCAUCUGAUU
Molecule: small nucleolar RNA, 99 nt
Organism: Eublepharis macularius
Lineage: Eukaryota; Metazoa; Chordata; Lepidosauria; Squamata; Eublepharidae
Product: small nucleolar RNA U13
Exons: 1
Source: RefSeq, a predicted model, not a curated record